UUGUUGUCGGGCCAAUUAGUGGCCCAACAACGUUAUUAAGACAUAACAAUUUUAUUAAAAAACUCAAUUGGCAUUAAUUUUGUUCUUUACGCAUUUUACUGAAAUUAUUGACAGACGUAUUUUUUUCUUCUGUUUAUUUUUAGAUCAACCCGGUGGAAUACAAACUUAUUGGCAUUGUCAAUGAGCAUAAGCAUUGGAAGCUGGCGGCAAUCAUGCCAGGAGAAAAAAGGUCCUUACUAGUUGAUCCUCUUGGUGAGUCUCAAAUGGACAUUAAAAAAUGCCUGGAAUCAACCCGGGCGUUCAUGCGCAAGAAAGGGUGCAAUGUUUCCAGGUGGACUUGUGGCACUGUCCCCCAUCCCAGGCAACAAGAUUCAACCUCUUGUGUUGUAUUUGCUUUGAAAUUUGCAGAACAUCUUCUUUCAAAUGAAGAAAUAGAUUUCUCAGCAAAGGCACAUGAUGUAAAUAGGUACAGGCUGCAAAUUGCCACCACACUUCUAUUAGAGACUGAUGAUUUAUCUAACUUGUGCUUUGUUUGUGGGGAAGCUACACAUGACACAGACAACAGAUGAGUAAUUAUUUCAGGUCUUGUUAACUAAUGCAUGUGAUGAUUAAGAAAUAUAUUGAAUUACACAUUCGUUGUAAAUUAUUGUAAAUGUGCUGCAUUGUAUGAUCUUGCUUUUUUCUUUGUUUACCAGAUUCAGUGUGACGAGUGUUGCAGGUGGUUCCAUCUUGUAUGUGUCGGGGAGCCUCCAACCGAAGGCUCUUUUUUGUGUACAUGUACAGAAAUUAAAUGCUAAAUAUUUGAAGCUUG
Long non-coding RNA from Syngnathus acus (greater pipefish), 811 nucleotides. RefSeq lists it as uncharacterized. NCBI's taxonomy places the organism in Eukaryota, Metazoa, Chordata, Actinopteri, Syngnathiformes, Syngnathidae. The transcript has 5 exons. The record is from RefSeq and is a predicted model, not a curated record.